RNAcentral lists this ribosomal RNA (762 nucleotides) under uncultured Peptostreptococcus sp. RNAcentral's name for it is "bacterial SSU rRNA". It matches the Rfam family "Bacterial small subunit ribosomal RNA", at positions 28 to 776 of the family's 1533-position model. Lineage: Bacteria; Bacillati; Bacillota; Clostridia; Peptostreptococcales; Peptostreptococcaceae. The record is from RNAcentral.
GAUGAACGCUGGCGGCGUGCCUAACACAUGCAAGUCGAGCGAGGGUUUGCUCAGUAUUGAGUAUUCUAAGACUAGAAUGUUCAAUUCUGAGCAAAACCAAGCGGCGGACGAGUGAGUAACGCGUGGGUAACCUGCCCUAUACACAUGGAUAACAUACUGAAAAGUUUACUAAUACAUGAUAAUAUAUAUUUGCGGCAUCGCAGAUAUAUCAAAGUGUUAGCGGUAUAGGAUGGACCCGCGUCUGAUUAGCUAGUUGGUGAGAUAACUGCCCACCAAGGCGACGAUCAGUAGCCGACCUGAGAGGGUGAUCGGCCACAUUGGAACUGAGACACGGUCCAAACUCCUACGGGAGGCAGCAGUGGGGAAUAUUGCACAAUGGGCGAAAGCCUGAUGCAGCAACGCCGCGUGAACGAUGAAGGUCUUCGGAUCGUAAAGUUCUGUUGCAGGGGAAGAUAAUGACGGUACCCUGUGAGGAAGCCCCGGCUAACUACGUGCCAGCAGCCGCGGUAAUACGUAGGGGGCUAGCGUUAUCCGGAUUUACUGGGCGUAAAGGGUGCGUAGGUGGUCCUUCAAGUCGGUGGUUAAAGGCUACGGCUCAACCGUAGUAAGCCGCCGAAACUGGAGAACUUGAGUGCAGGAGAGGAAAGUGGAAUUCCCAGUGUAGCGGUGAAAUGCGUAGAUAUUGGGAGGAACACCAGUAGCGAAGGCGGCUUUCUGGACUGCAACUGACACUGAGGCACGAAAGCGUGGGUAGCAAACAGG